Molecule: non-coding RNA, 70 nt
Organism: Podarcis lilfordi (Lilford's wall lizard)
Lineage: Eukaryota; Metazoa; Chordata; Lepidosauria; Squamata; Lacertidae
Source: the annotation of a GenBank genome assembly
GGCCAUAGCUCAUUGGAAGAGCAUCGGAUUUGCACGCAGAAGGUCCCAGGGUCAAUCCCUGGCAUCUCCA